This 1476-nucleotide ribosomal RNA is filed under the name metagenome. RNAcentral describes it as "bacterial SSU rRNA". It matches the Rfam family "Bacterial small subunit ribosomal RNA". The record is from RNAcentral.
AUCCUGGCUCAGGAUGAACGCUAGCUACAGGCUUAACACAUGCAAGUCGAGGGGCAGCAUUUUAGUUUGCUUGCAAACUGAAGAUGGCGACCGGCGCACGGGUGAGUAACACGUAUCCAACCUGCCGAUAACUCCGGGAUAGCCUUUCGAAAGAAAGAUUAAUACCGGAUAGUAUACGAAUAUCGCAUGAUAUUUUUAUUAAAGAAUUUCGGUUAUCGAUGGGGAUGCGUUCCAUUAGUUUGUUGGCGGGGUAACGGCCCACCAAGACUACGAUGGAUAGGGGUUCUGAGAGGAAGGUCCCCCACAUUGGAACUGAGACACGGUCCAAACUCCUACGGGAGGCAGCAGUGAGGAAUAUUGGUCAAUGGGCGCGAGCCUGAACCAGCCAAGUAGCGUGAAGGAUGAAGGCUCUAUGGGUCGUAAACUUCUUUUAUAUGGGAAUAAAGUUUUCCACGUGUGGAAUUUUGUAUGUACCAUAUGAAUAAGGAUCGGCUAACUCCGUGCCAGCAGCCGCGGUAAUACGGAGGAUCCGAGCGUUAUCCGGAUUUAUUGGGUUUAAAGGGAGCGUAGGUGGAUUGUUAAGUCAGUUGUGAAAGUUUGCGGCUCAACCGUAAAAUUGCAGUUGAAACUGGCAGUCUUGAGUACAGUAGAGGUGGGCGGAAUUCGUGGUGUAGCGGUGAAAUGCUUAGAUAUCACGAAGAACUCCGAUUGCGAAGGCAGCUCACUAGACUGUCACUGACACUGAUGCUCGAAAGUGUGGGUAUCAAACAGGAUUAGAUACCCUGGUAGUCCACACAGUAAACGAUGAAUACUCGCUGUUUGCGAUAUACAGUAAGCGGCCAAGCGAAAGCAUUAAGUAUUCCACCUGGGGAGUACGCCGGCAACGGUGAAACUCAAAGGAAUUGACGGGGGCCCGCACAAGCGGAGGAACAUGUGGUUUAAUUCGAUGAUACGCGAGGAACCUUACCCGGGCUUAAAUUGCAACAGAAUAUAUUGGAAACAGUAUAGCCGUAAGGCUGUUGUGAAGGUGCUGCAUGGUUGUCGUCAGCUCGUGCCGUGAGGUGUCGGCUUAAGUGCCAUAACGAGCGCAACCCUUAUCUUUAGUUACUAACAGGUUAUGCUGAGGACUCUAGAGAGACUGCCGUCGUAAGAUGUGAGGAAGGUGGGGAUGACGUCAAAUCAGCACGGCCCUUACGUCCGGGGCUACACACGUGUUACAAUGGGGGGUACAGAAGGCGGCUACCUGGUGACAGGAUGCUAAUCCCAAAAACCUCUCUCAGUUCGGAUCGAAGUCUGCGACCCGACUUCGUGAAGCUGGAUUCGCUAGUAAUCGCGCAUCAGCCAUGGCGCGGUGAAUACGUUCCCGGGCCUUGUACACACCGCCCGUCAAGCCAUGAAAGCCGGGGGUACCUGAAGUACGUAACCGCAAGGAGCGUCCUAGGGUAAAACUGGUAAUUGGGGCUAAGUCGUAACAAG